Molecule: non-coding RNA, 384 nt
Organism: Pelobates cultripes (western spadefoot toad)
Lineage: Eukaryota; Metazoa; Chordata; Amphibia; Anura; Pelobatidae
Source: the annotation of a GenBank genome assembly
UGUCAUGCUAUAAAAUUGUCUAAUUAAGUUGCUAUGUGAUAAAGUUAUUAAUACCUUUACAACGACUUUUGUGAAGGUCAAAACGUUGCUGUAUGCACGUUGUUCCAAUAGGUCUGCUUAAUGUAGAGCCCAGUAAGUGCCUGAAAGCCUUUUUUGAAAGUAUUAAUAUGAAUUUAGGCUUGAGUUUAGAAUUUCUUAAUUUAUUAGAAAGUUGCAGUGAAUUCAAGACCAACUUAGAAUGUCUGAAUCAAGGCCUAAAUUGCAUAGUUAAGAAAAUUUUUCAUGUUGGCUAUUUUAUUCUAAAAGCAUUAAACCUUUGGCCCUUCAUAUAGACACAAUGCAUAAUUCUGCUGACGUUAUCAGUGUGCUUCACAAGGUUCUGAG